GACGAACGCUGGCGGCGUGCCUAAUACAUGCAAGUCGAACGCUGAAGGAGGAGCUUGCUUCUCUGGAUGAGUUGCGAACGGGUGAGUAACGCGUAGGUAACCUGCCUGGUAGCGGGGGAUAACUAUUGGAAACGAUAGCUAAUACCGCAUAAGAGUAGAUGUUGCAUGACAUUUGCUUAAAAGGUGCAAUUGCAUCACUACCAGAUGGACCUGCGUUGUAUUAGCUAGUUGGUGAGGUAACGGCUCACCAAGGCGACGAUACAUAGCCGACCUGAGAGGGUGAUCGGCCACACUGGGACUGAGACACGGCCCAGACUCCUACGGGAGGCAGCAGUAGGGAAUCUUCGGCAAUGGACGGAAGUCUGACCGAGCAACGCCGCGUGAGUGAAGAAGGGUUUCGGAUCGUAAAGCUCUGUUGUAAGAGAAGAACGAGUGUGAGAGUGGAAAGUUCACACUGUGACGGUAUCUUACCAGAAAGAGACGGCUAACUACGUG
This 495-nucleotide ribosomal RNA is filed under the name uncultured bacterium. RNAcentral's name for it is "partial 16S ribosomal RNA". It matches the Rfam family "Bacterial small subunit ribosomal RNA", at positions 28 to 507 of the family's 1533-position model. The record is from RNAcentral.